RNAcentral lists this ribosomal RNA (404 nucleotides) under uncultured bacterium. Its description in RNAcentral is "partial 16S ribosomal RNA". It matches the Rfam family "Bacterial small subunit ribosomal RNA", at positions 28 to 526 of the family's 1533-position model. The record is from RNAcentral.
GACGAACGCUGGCGGCGUGCUUAACACAUGCAAGUCGAGCGGAGCGGCCAACGGGUGAGUAACGCGUGAGUAACUGCCCCCCUCUCGGGGAUAACAGUUGGAAACGGCUGCUAAUACCGGAUAGUGGGGGAUGAAUCGCGUCCUAUCAGCUUGUUGGUGGGGUAGUGGCCUACCAAGGCGACGACGGGUAGCCGGCCUGAGAGGGGGACCGGCCACAAUGGGCUGAGAGAGGGCACAAACUGCGACGGGAUGCAGGAGUGGGGAAUAUGGCACAAUGGGGGAAACCGUGAGGCAGCAACGCGCGUGCGGAAUGACGGCUUUCGGGUUGGAAACCGCUUUCAGCCAUGACGCGGUAGUGGCAGAAGAAGCACCGGCUAACUACGUGCCAGCAGCCGCGGUAAUUC